GUGUUCUCUCCCAUAUUUUUUACCAUCCAAAUCCAAUUUCCCCUCUUUCCUUAUAUUUCUAUUCCUAUUAUAUCUUAUUGCCUCCACCGUUUCUCAGGCUCUCUCAAUUUUUUCUUAAUUUGAGUGGCUGCAAAACCCACGUGUUCCCUCCUUCAUUCUUUUUUGGUUUCCCCCUUUUUUGCUUAAUAAUCUCUUUCUUCAUCCAAUAACCGCAUGGAGGUUUAGGGUUUUGAUCCUCACAACCUCGCUUAAAUUAAGGAUAUUGUUUUUUUCUUCUUCUUUUUUUCUUCUCAAUAACUGCCAUGUCUAGGAGGGUUCUUUGUAAGUUCUUUGCUCAUGGAGCCUGUCUGAAAGGGGAGCAUUGCGAAUUUUCUCACGACUGGAAAGAUCCUCCAAAUAAUAUAUGCACGUUUUACCAGAAAGGAGUCUGUGCUUAUGGUAGUCGCUGCAGAUAUGAUCAUGUCAAAGCUUCUCGAGAGACAUCUUCCACUCCAUCUUCUUCAGUAAUCGAACACCAGACCCUGGUUUCAGAUGCUGUGGCUUUUGGAGAUACUAGAACUACAUCGAAUGGUGUUGCUGCAGCUGCUGAGUUUUCUCUUUCCAGGAGUCCUUACCUUCUUCCUAGUGAACCGGCUUGGAAUCAAGAACCUGUUUGGAAUCAAGAACCUGCUUGGAAUCAAGAACCUGAUUGGAAUCAAGCAUUUGAGUAUAAUGAACUUUUAGGGGAAGACAAUGUUGGUCAAUCCAUAAUCACUUCACCGUCUGAGCUUUCAAUUUGUUCAUUUGCUGCUGCUGGCAACUGUCCACGAGGGGAUAAAUGUCCUCAUAUUCAUGGGGAUUUAUGUCCCACCUGUGGAAAACAUUGUUUGCAUCCUUUCCGACCUGAGGAAAGAGAAGAACAUAUGAAGAGUUGUGAAAAUAAGCAUAAGCAUCUUGAGGCAUUGAAACGAAGUCAAGAAAUUGAAUGCAGUGUUUGCCUGGAGCGUGUUCUGUCAAAGCCUACAGCAGCUGAACGGAAGUUUGGGCUGCUAUCUGAAUGUGAUCAUCCAUUUUGCAUAUCCUGUAUUAGGAAUUGGCGUAGUAGUAACCCAACACUGGGAAUGGAUGUUAAUAGCACAUUGAGGGCUUGUCCUAUCUGUCGCAAGCUAUCAUACUUUGUCAUUCCUAGUGUCAUUUGGUACUCAACAACCGAAGAAAAACAGGAAAUCAUUGACAACUACAAAGCAAAGCUCAAGUCAAUUGAUUGCAAGCACUUUGACUUUGGGGACGGGAACUGCCCUUUUGGAACUAGUUGUUUCUACAAGCAUGCAUAUCGAGAUGGCCGUCUAGAGCAGGUAGUUUUGCGACAUCUAGGGGCUGCAGAUGGCAAUACCGUAAUUGCCAAAGACAUCAGGUUGUCAGAUUUCCUUUCUAACAUGCAUUUAAGAUGAAGGGUGUUGUUCGUAUGUUCCAGAUACUUGCUUAAAAAUGGCAUGCUUCAAUGUCAAAAGUUAUUUUUAUAUUGCAAGUCAAGCUCCUCUUCUUGUUUCUGUGAUAGGUGCUUUUUCAGUAAACCAUAUCCACUUGAUAACCCCAAAGUUUACUGAAAUAGGCACCAGAGAAAGAAGCUGCACUGUGCGUUCUGUCUUUGUAAUAAAGUGCAUGUGUAAAAUGGUAGAUGGACAUGCUACGAGGGUAUAAACUUAAAUAAGUUCAUUUUUAAAGCAUAUAAAUCCAAAUAUGGAUUGAUGGUGGUAUACUCUAUUAGAAGCAUGGUGGAAUGCACUGUUAGCCAUCAGUGAAACUUUUAGAAGCAUUUCUUUUGUCUGGUGGAUUUCAAAGUUAUAUACAAAAAUUGAUUGGGGUGAUGAAGUUUUCCUGUUUCCAUUAUUGAGAUCUCAAGGUAUAACUUUUUAUUGUAUACUGGAUUUCCUUGCCGUGGAUAGCACUACACGAAGAGUCUUAGGAAAGGGUUCAACAUAUGUAUCGGUUGUUAUUUUUUUAUAGGAUUUUGUCAGGGCCCCUUGGGCUUAUACUGGUAACCUGUUUCCUUUUUGAUGAAUAUACCAGUACAAUCUAAGUUUCACCUAGUGAAUGAAUAUACAUAACCCUUUUAAUAGCUAGUGAAUUUUCUUUCAAUUUAAUAGACCAGUUUGUUUAA
Cajanus cajan (pigeon pea) is the source of this 2140-nucleotide RNA transcript. It is a transcript of the gene named zinc finger (CCCH-type/C3HC4-type RING finger) family protein, with no coding region annotated. The record is from RefSeq and is a predicted model, not a curated record. Lineage: Eukaryota; Viridiplantae; Streptophyta; Magnoliopsida; Fabales; Fabaceae.